UGCUAGGAAUAUUAUUUCUGGCUCUGACCAUGGCUUCUUUGGACUCAGCCUGCUAUACUUUCUACAAUUUGCUUCAUUUUCUCUCCAGAGCAAAAGGAACUUACUGGUGUACAGACCCUCUUGACAUAAUCCCUUCUUUCAAAGGACCGAUUACAUUGUCACUUUCUGUUUCUCUCCUGACAACACCGUUCUUCAUGUUCCAGAUCGCUGCCCCAUCCCAGCUGUUAUGGAAGGCCUGUGACUUCUGAUGAUCUUGGUACCCAUUAUUAAUUGACCAUAAACUCAUGUUGAUUUGGGGAAAUUUUACUGACUGCUGUUUGACAAUGCUGAUUCUGAGAGGAUGUCCACAAAUCUUACCAAAAAUAUCUAUUCAG
Pezoporus flaviventris is the source of this 374-nucleotide long non-coding RNA. RefSeq lists it as uncharacterized. Lineage: Eukaryota; Metazoa; Chordata; Aves; Psittaciformes; Psittacidae. The record is from RefSeq and is a predicted model, not a curated record. The transcript has 3 exons.